Molecule: non-coding RNA, 92 nt
Filed under: Lyngbya confervoides
Lineage: Bacteria; Bacillati; Cyanobacteriota; Cyanophyceae; Oscillatoriales; Microcoleaceae
Also listed under: 1 other name
Description: Glutamine-I sequence
Rfam family: Glutamine riboswitch aptamer (glnA leader)
Source: RNAcentral
UUCGUUCAUCCUCAUUGCCCUCACAGACGUUUAUUUUGUUGGAUUGAUGACGAAUGAGGACGGAAGUAGGGAUUCUCCCGAAGGAACGCGCC